This 294-nucleotide ribosomal RNA is filed under the name uncultured bacterium. RNAcentral's name for it is "partial 16S ribosomal RNA". It matches the Rfam family "Bacterial small subunit ribosomal RNA", at positions 333 to 619 of the family's 1533-position model. The record is from RNAcentral.
GAGGGCCUACGGGGGGCAGCAGUGGGGAAUAUUGCGCAAUGGGCGAAAGCCUGACGCAGCGACGCCGCGUGAGGGAUGAAGGUCUUCGGAUCGGAAACCUCUGUCAGCAGGGAAGAACGGUCACUGUGCUAAUCAGCAGUGAAUUGACGGUACCUGCAAAGGAAGCACCGGCUAACUCCGUGCCAGCAGCCGCGGGAAUACGGAGGGUGCGAGCGUUAAUCGGAAUUACUGGGCGUAAAGCGCUUGUAGGCGGUAUGUCAAGUCAAGGGGGAAAUCCCCGCGCGCAACGGGGGA